Molecule: small nuclear RNA, 109 nt
Organism: Nyctereutes procyonoides (raccoon dog)
Lineage: Eukaryota; Metazoa; Chordata; Mammalia; Carnivora; Canidae
Source: RefSeq, a predicted model, not a curated record
GUGCUCGCUUCAGCAGCACAUAUACUAAAAAAUUGGAACGAUACAGAGAAGAUUAGCAUGGGCCCUGCCCAAGGAUGACACGCAAAUUCACGAAGCAUUCCGUAUUUUU